Notothenia coriiceps (black rockcod) is the source of this 673-nucleotide long non-coding RNA. RefSeq lists it as uncharacterized. The record is from RefSeq and is a predicted model, not a curated record. The transcript has 6 exons. NCBI's taxonomy places the organism in Eukaryota, Metazoa, Chordata, Actinopteri, Perciformes, Nototheniidae.
CUUGUAUUUCAUAAUGACGCAUUAUUUAUUUCAGGUGACUUGUAUUUCAUGAUGAGACAUUUCAUGAUGAGACAUUUCCAUUCCUUAUAUGCAAAUGAACGGGGCGUGGUUAGCUCACAGAUCCAGAGACCCAGACCAAAGCAACAGCACCACAAGAUUGACACUAACUGGUUCUUCUCUGGUCCGCCCAAUGCUGCUCUUCUGAGAGCAACCGCUCUGACAGCUCUCUCUAGUCUCUACUGGGAAACAGCUAAAAGUCCUUCUGGAGGCUUUGCAUUUGAACUCCUAUGACUGGUUGCGGACUUGAAGGGAACGCCUUCCUGACAUCCAGGAAAAAGUUUUAUUGGACAGAGGCAGUAGAGAUCUACUGGAAACAGUGGAGAGGGAGGAGAUGAUAUGCAGCAAAAGGCCCAGCCGGAUGGUUGCUGCUCCGUGUGGAACGUGUUCUAUCAGGUGUAACAUCUACCAAUGGUACAUGACAGAGACCUCCUCCACCUCUUUGCUGUCUUACUAGUCAAUCCUUCUGAUCAGGUCCUUUCCUAAAUAGUGAAAGGAUCAUGCCAGCCCACAUCAAACACCUGAUCAAGAGCUUGUGAACCUCACUGCUGCGGACACCUGUGUGAUAUUCGACUUCUGACUGGAACCCUCAAAAUGACCUGCAGGCUCAAGCCUC